AUUGAACGCUGGCGGCAGGCCUAACACAUGCAAGUCGAACGAGUGGCGAACGGGUGAGUAAUGUCUGGGAAACUGCCUGAUGGAGGGGGAUAACCACUGGAAAAGGUAGCUAAUACCGCAAACCAUCAGAUGUGCCCAGAUGGGAUUGGCUUGUUGGUGGGGUAACGGCUCACCAAGGCGAUGAUCCCUAGCUGGUCCGAGAGGAUGACCGGCCCCACUGGAACGGAGACACGGUCCAGACUCCUACGGGAGGCAGCAGUGGGGAAUAUUGCACAAGGGGCGCAAGCCUGAUGCAGCCAUGCCGCGUGUAUGAAGAAGGCCUUCGGGUUGUAAAGUACUUUCAGCGGGGAGGCGUUACCCGCAGAAGAAGCACCGGCUAACUCCGUGCCAGCAGCCGCGGUAAUAC
RNAcentral lists this ribosomal RNA (406 nucleotides) under uncultured bacterium. RNAcentral's name for it is "partial 16S ribosomal RNA". It matches the Rfam family "Bacterial small subunit ribosomal RNA", at positions 30 to 526 of the family's 1533-position model. The record is from RNAcentral.